This 119-nucleotide ribosomal RNA is filed under the name Lepisosteus oculatus (spotted gar). Lineage: Eukaryota; Metazoa; Chordata; Actinopteri; Semionotiformes; Lepisosteidae. The record is from RNAcentral.
GCCAGCAGCCAUAUCACCCUGCAAUUCACAACUGGCAGUUCACUAAAGCUAAGCAGGUGUGAGCCUGGCCAGUACCUGGAUGGGAGACCUCCUUGGAAAAACUAAGGUUGCUGCUGGAA